UGGGGAAUAUUGCGCAAUGGGCGAAAGCCUGACGCAGCGACGCCGCGUGGGUGAUGAAGGUCUUCGGAUCGUAAAGCCCUGUUGGAGGGGAAAGAAAACGUUUAUGGUUAAUACCCAUAGGCCUUGACGGUACCCCUUCAGAAAGCACCGGCUAACUCCGUGCCAGCAGCCGCGGUAAUACGGAGGGUGCAAACGUUGUUCGGAAUCACUGGGCGUAAAGCGCGUGUAGGCGGCACGGUAAGUCAGAUGUGAAAGCCCUCGGCUCAACCGGGGAAGUGCAUUUGAAACUGCCGAGCUAGAGUACGGGAGAGGGUAGUGGAAUUCCUGGUGUAGAGGUGAAAUUCGUAGAUAUCAGGAGGAACACCGGUGGCGAAGGCGGCUACCUGGACCGAUACUGACGCUGAGACGCGAAAGCGUGGGGAGCAAACAGG
RNAcentral lists this ribosomal RNA (431 nucleotides) under uncultured delta proteobacterium. RNAcentral describes it as "bacterial SSU rRNA". It matches the Rfam family "Bacterial small subunit ribosomal RNA", at positions 355 to 776 of the family's 1533-position model. Lineage: Bacteria; Deltaproteobacteria. The record is from RNAcentral.